Molecule: ribosomal RNA, 440 nt
Filed under: uncultured bacterium
Lineage: Bacteria
Description: partial 16S ribosomal RNA
Rfam family: Bacterial small subunit ribosomal RNA
Source: RNAcentral
CCUACGGGCGGCAGCAGUGGGGAAUAUUGCACAAUGGGGGAAACCCUGAUGCAGCGACGCCGCGUGAGUGAAGAAGUAUUUCGGUAUGUAAAGCUCUGUCAGCAGGGAAGAAAAUGACGGUACCUGACCAAGAAGCCCCGGCUAACUACGUGCCAGCAGCCGCGGUUAUACGUAGGCGGCAGGCGUUAUCCGGAUUUACUGGGUGUAAAGGGAGCGUAGACGGCAGGGCAAGUCAGGAGUGAAAGGCUGGGGCUCAACCCCCGGAUUGGUGUGGAAACUGGCAGGCUGGAGUGCAGGAGAGGUAAGUGGAAUUCGUAGUGUAGCGGUGAAAUGCGUAGAUAUUAGGAGGAACACCAGUGGCGAAGGCGGCUUACUGGACUGUAACUGACGUUGAGGCUCGAAAGCGUGGGGAGCAAACAGGAUUAGAUACCCGAGUAGUC